RNAcentral lists this ribosomal RNA (511 nucleotides) under uncultured bacterium. Its description in RNAcentral is "bacterial SSU rRNA". It matches the Rfam family "Bacterial small subunit ribosomal RNA", at positions 791 to 1301 of the family's 1533-position model. The record is from RNAcentral.
UAGUCCACGCCGUAAACGAUGAGUACUCGUUAUUGGAGGUCGACCCCUCCAGUGACUAAGCUAACGCGUUAAGUACUCCGCCUGGGGAUUACGGUCGCAAGACUAAAACUCAAAGGAAUUGACGGGGGCCCGCACAAGCGGUGGAUCAUGUGGUUUAAUUCGAAGCAACGCGCAAAACCUUACCUGGGCUUGAAAUCCUGGAAAUCCUCUAGAGAUAGAGGAGUGCCCUUCGGGGAAUCCAGUGACAGGCGCUGCAUGGCUGUCGUCAGCUCGUGUUGUGAAAUGUUGGGUUAAGUCUCGCAACGAGCGCAACCCCUGUCCUCUGUUGCCAGCAUUAAGUUGGGCACUCUGAGGAGACUGCCUGGGUCAACCAGGAGGAAGGUGGGGAUGACGUCAAGUCCUCAUGGCCCUUAUGUCCAGGGCUACACACGUGAUACAAUGGCAAGUACAAUGGGAUGCGAACCUGCGAGGGGGAGCGAAAUCUCUAAAAGCUUGUCUCAGUCCGGAGUUG